Molecule: ribosomal RNA, 1707 nt
Filed under: Salmonella enterica subsp. enterica serovar Braenderup
Lineage: Bacteria; Pseudomonadati; Pseudomonadota; Gammaproteobacteria; Enterobacterales; Enterobacteriaceae
Description: bacterial LSU rRNA
Rfam family: Bacterial large subunit ribosomal RNA
Source: RNAcentral
GAAGGUGGCCUGUGAGGGUUGCUGGAGGUAUCAGAAGUGCGAAUGCUGACAUAAGUAACGAUAAAGCGGGUGAAAAGCCCGCUCGCCGGAAGACCAAGGGUUCCUGUCCAACGUUAAUCGGGGCAGGGUGAGUCGACCCCUAAGGCGAGGCCGAAAGGCGUAGUCGAUGGGAAACGGGUUAAUAUUCCCGUACUUGGUGUUACUGCGAAGGGGGGACGGAGAAGGCUAUGUUGGCCGGGCGACGGUUGUCCCGGUUUAAGCGUGUAGGUGUGUGUUCCAGGUAAAUCCGGUUCACUUUAACACUGAGGCGUGACGACGAGGCACUACGGUGCUGAAGCAACAAAUGCCCUGCUUCCAGGAAAAGCCUCUAAGCAUCAGGUAACAUCAAAUCGUACCCCAAACCGACACAGGUGGUCAGGUAGAGAAUACCAAGGCGCUUGAGAGAACUCGGGUGAAGGAACUAGGCAAAAUGGUGCCGUAACUUCGGGAGAAGGCACGCUGACACGUAGGUGAAGUGAUUUACUCACGGAGCUGAAGUCAGUCGAAGAUACCAGCUGGCUGCAACUGUUUAUUAAAAACACAGCACUGUGCAAACACGAAAGUGGACGUAUACGGUGUGACGCCUGCCCGGUGCCGGAAGGUUAAUUGAUGGGGUCAGCGCAAGCGAAGCUCCUGAUCGAAGCCCCGGUAAACGGCGGCCGUAACUAUAACGGUCCUAAGGUAGCGAAAUUCCUUGUCGGGUAAGUUCCGACCUGCACGAAUGGCGUAAUGAUGGCCAGGCUGUCUCCACCCGAGACUCAGUGAAAUUGAACUCGCUGUGAAGAUGCAGUGUACCCGCGGCAAGACGGAAAGACCCCGUGAACCUUUACUAUAGCUUGACACUGAACAUUGAGCCUUGAUGUGUAGGAUAGGUGGGAGGCUUUGAAGUGUGGACGCCAGUCUGCAUGGAGCCGACCUUGAAAUACCACCCUUUAAUGUUUGAUGUUCUAACGUGGACCCGUGAUCCGGGUUGCGGACAGUGUCUGGUGGGUAGUUUGACUGGGGCGGUCUCCUCCUAAAGAGUAACGGAGGAGCACGAAGGUUGGCUAAUCCUGGUCGGACAUCAGGAGGUUAGUGCAAUGGCAUAAGCCAGCUUGACUGCGAGCGUGACGGCGCGAGCAGGUGCGAAAGCAGGUCAUAGUGAUCCGGUGGUUCUGAAUGGAAGGGCCAUCGCUCAACGGAUAAAAGGUACUCCGGGGAUAACAGGCUGAUACCGCCCAAGAGUUCAUAUCGACGGCGGUGUUUGGCACCUCGAUGUCGGCUCAUCACAUCCUGGGGCUGAAGUAGGUCCCAAGGGUAUGGCUGUUCGCCAUUUAAAGUGGUACGCGAGCUGGGUUUAGAACGUCGUGAGACAGUUCGGUCCCUAUCUGCCGUGGGCGCUGGAGAACUGAGGGGGGCUGCUCCUAGUACGAGAGGACCGGAGUGGACGCAUCACUGGUGUUCGGGUUGUCAUGCCAAUGGCACUGCCCGGUAGCUAAAUGCGGAAGAGAUAAGUGCUGAAAGCAUCUAAGCACGAAACUUGCCCCGAGAUGAGUUCUCCCUGAGACUUAGAGUCUCCUGAAGGAACGUUGAAGACGACGACGUUGAUAGGCCGGGUGUGUAAGCGCAGCGAUGCGUUGAGCUAACCGGUACUAAUGAACCGUGAGGCUUAACCUUACAACGCCGAAG